Molecule: unclassified non-coding RNA, 400 nt
Filed under: soil metagenome
Description: partial contains 5.8S ribosomal RNA, internal transcribed spacer 2, and large subunit ribosomal RNA
Rfam family: 5.8S ribosomal RNA (bases 1-122)
Source: RNAcentral
GAUGAAGAACGUAGCGAAAUGCGAUACUUGGUGUGAAUUGCAGAAUCCCGUGAACCAUCGAGUCUUUGAACGCAAGUUGCGCCUCAAGCCAUUAGGUUGAGGGCACGUCUGCCUGGGCGUCACAUAUCGUUGCCUGAUUCCAGUUUCCUCGUGAUGGGUGACUGUGCAGGGCGAAUGAUGGCUUCCCGUGAGCAUUGUUGCCUCAUGGUUGGUUGAAAAUUGAGUCCUUGGUAGGGAGCGCCGUGAUAGAUGGUGGUUGAGUGACGAACGAGACCCAAUCAUGUGAGACCCCUACCGAAUUUGGCCUUCAUGACCCACAUGCGUCUUUGGAACGCUCAUGACGAGACCUCAGGUCAGGCGGGGCUACCCGCUGAGUUUAAGCAUAUCAAUAAGCGGAGGA